GACGAACGCUGGCGGCGUGCUUAACACAUGCAAGUCGAACGGAAAGGCCCUGCUUUUGUGGGGUGCUCGAGUGGCGAACGGGUGAGUAACACGUGAGUAACCUGCCCUUGACUUUGGGAUAACUUCAGGAAACUGGGGCUAAUACCGGAUAGGAGCUCCUGCUGCAUGGUGGGGGUUGGAAAGUUUCGGCGGUUGGGGAUGGACGCGCGGCUUAUCAGCUUGUUGGUGGGGUAGUGGCUUACCAAGGCUUUGACGGGUAGCCGGCCUGAGAGGGUGACCGGCCACAUUGGGACUGAGAUACGGCCCAGACUCCUACGGGAGGCAGCAGUGGGGAAUAUUGCACAAUGGGCGGAAGCCUGAUGCAGCAACGCCGCGUGCGGGAUGACGGCCUUCGGGUUGUAAACCGCUUUCGCCUGUGACGAAGCGUGAGUGACGGUAAUGGGUGAAGAAGCACCGGCUAACUACGUG
Molecule: ribosomal RNA, 468 nt
Filed under: uncultured bacterium
Lineage: Bacteria
Description: partial 16S ribosomal RNA
Rfam family: Bacterial small subunit ribosomal RNA
Source: RNAcentral